GACGGAGGAUGCAAGCGUUAUCCGGAAUGAUUGGGCGUAAAGCGUCCGCAGGUGGCAGUUCAAGUCUGCUGUCAAAGACCGGGGCUUAACUUCGGAAAGGCAGUGGAAACUGAAGAGGCUAGAGUGCGGUAGGGGUAGAGGGAAUUCCCAGUGUAGCGGUGAAAUGCGUAGAGAUUGGGAAGAACACCGGUGGCGAAAGCGCUCUACUGGGCCUGCACUGACACUGAGGGACGAAAGCUAGGGGAGCGAAAGGG
Molecule: ribosomal RNA, 254 nt
Filed under: uncultured bacterium
Lineage: Bacteria
Description: partial 16S ribosomal RNA
Rfam family: Bacterial small subunit ribosomal RNA
Source: RNAcentral